Non-coding RNA from Marasmius sp. AFHP31, 107 nucleotides. NCBI's taxonomy places the organism in Eukaryota, Fungi, Basidiomycota, Agaricomycetes, Agaricales, Marasmiaceae. The record is from the annotation of a GenBank genome assembly.
GCCCGCCUAGCUCAAUCGGAUAGAGCGUCAGACUUUUAUUACAGGGUGGCUGGCAUAACUGGAAAUUGGAAAUCUGAAGGCUGCGAGUUCGACUCUCGCGGUGGGCU